GAGAAGUGUCGUCAGUAUAUCGUCAGUUACUAUCAGUUGUAAGGACGAAGAAGAUGGUAGAAGAAAGUAGAAAUAAUUUCAAGAUGUAACCUUGAACAAAGAGCAGGUGUUUUAUUUUUUGUUUCUCUUCAUAUAUAGCAAAAAUAGAUAGGUCUUCGUCAUUCUUGUUACCGGCAUCGCUGAGACUAGUUGGGAUCCGUAUGUGAUGACGAAGUUUUAUCAUCUCGUAAUUACAGGAAAUGAUAUCAGUAAUCAUUCUCGGAAAUUUGUUUUCGUGUACGAACUUAUGAGAGAUUUAUAGCAGGGAUGGAUAUAGAUGAUCUCUCUUUCUCAGAAUGAUACGAUACCUACUCGUAAUAACAUUCUCGGCUAUUCUUCUGUUGGAUUAUGAUUGCAGUUCUUCGUGCAGCAAUAGAUGAAUCGAUCUUUGUUUCGAUAAAGUAAAAAAGUAAUUGUGAAGUAAAUUUGUUGUUAAUGUUUUUCAGUUAAUUUAAAUUUGUUUGCGUUUUAUGAUGUUAAAAAACUUUUAGAAAUAUGUGUGUAUAAAUAAUUUGGGUCCAAAGCAGUCAUAGAGUCAAUAUUUGUUCGUAUAAAAUUUUCUUUUUCUUUUUCUCUGCAAUCAGAUAUACUGUAGAUACUUAUAUGUAAAACAAGCAAUAGACAUUCGCGAAUUAAACUCAUUGUUUGCCUCUUAAUUAUUAAAUAAUUAUUGCGUAUUUGAGUCAGUGCAUCAUGGAAGAUGAUCAAGGACCUAUUAUACUUCUGUAGAAGAAUAUUGAUUUGCAUUGUCAUUAAGUCAAUGUAUUACAAAUUCAAUCUAAUUAAUUAUCCAUCUACGUCGAUUUAUUUCAUUUUGGACUUAUUACGGAACAGCUUACAUAAAUUUCGAGCUACAACGGGGCGAGUGUUUUGGAGAUUGUGGAUCUUAAGCAUUUCUACCAGAUGAGUGUUACAAGCAAUUAAUUUUUCAACUAAAUUGGUAUUGGUAUACCAAUUGUCUGCAUAAAUUGUGUGGCCUUUAUAGGGUAUAUUGUUACACAUGCUCAUACAAGACUUGUUAGUGUUAAACAUGGUGCGUUUGAUUUUUUUCCAGAAUAUAUUUGAAAUUGGCCCUGAAAUAGGAUAUGAAUAUAUAAGUGGAAUCUCAUUUGAUAUAAUCUUAAUAUUGCUUCUUAUCAUUAUCAGUUUAUAAUCUUAGAAUUGAACUGAUUAAUUCAAACAUCAUAUUUUCAUUUCCGCUAUCA
Vespa velutina is the source of this 1244-nucleotide long non-coding RNA. RefSeq lists it as uncharacterized. The transcript has 7 exons. Lineage: Eukaryota; Metazoa; Arthropoda; Insecta; Hymenoptera; Vespidae. The record is from RefSeq and is a predicted model, not a curated record.